Molecule: long non-coding RNA, 224 nt
Filed under: Nicotiana benthamiana
Lineage: Eukaryota; Viridiplantae; Streptophyta; Magnoliopsida; Solanales; Solanaceae
Description: long non-coding RNA (NBEN_LNC017241)
Source: RNAcentral
UUUCAGAAGAAAUUUGAGUCUAUGGUAUUCUGGACUCGAGUUUUAAGUUAUUUUUAGGUUUCUUCAAGUUAUUCUAGAUAUAUUUAGUUGCUGUAGCCUUUCCUGAGGUUUACUGGUUCUUUGCUGGGUAUUUUCGAUUCAUUUGAGUUUGGUUUUUUGGUCAAAUCCUAUGUGGUACUUCUCCAGUAUACUCCUUGGUCUUUGUGUAGCUGUUUUGCUUCUGG